This 759-nucleotide ribosomal RNA is filed under the name Parahaemophilus parainfluenzae. RNAcentral's name for it is "Haemophilus parainfluenzae bacterial SSU rRNA". It matches the Rfam family "Bacterial small subunit ribosomal RNA", at positions 28 to 776 of the family's 1533-position model. Lineage: Bacteria; Pseudomonadati; Pseudomonadota; Gammaproteobacteria; Pasteurellales; Pasteurellaceae. The record is from RNAcentral.
AUUGAACGCUGGCGGCAGGCUUAACACAUGCAAGUCGAACGGUAACAUAAAGAAGCUUGCUUCUUUGAUGACGAGUGGCGGACGGGUGAGUAAUGCUUGGGAAUCUAGCUUAUGGAGGGGGAUAACUACGGGAAACUGUAGCUAAUACCGCGUAGAAUCGGGAGAUGAAAGUGUGGGACCUUCGGGCCACAUGCCAUAGGAUGAGCCCAAGUGGGAUUAGGUAGUUGGUGAGGUAAAGGCUCACCGAGCCGACGAUCUCUAGCUGGUCUGAGAGGAUGACCAGCCACACUGGGACUGAGACACGGCCCAGACUCCUACGGGAGGCAGCAGUGGGGAAUAUUGCGCAAUGGGGGCAACCCUGACGCAGCCAUGCCGCGUGAAUGAAGAAGGCCUUCGGGUUGUAAAGUUCUUUCGGUAGCGAGGAAGGCAUUUAGUUUAAUAAACUGGAUGAUUGACGUUAACUACAGAAGAAGCACCGGCUAACUCCGUGCCAGCAGCCGCGGUAAUACGGAGGGUGCGAGCGUUAAUCGGAAUAACUGGGCGUAAAGGGCACGCAGGCGGUGACUUAAGUGAGGUGUGAAAGCCCCGGGCUUAACCUGGGAAUUGCAUUUCAUACUGGGUCGCUAGAGUACUUUAGGGAGGGGUAGAAUUCCACGUGUAGCGGUGAAAUGCGUAGAGAUGUGGAGGAAUACCGAAGGCGAAGGCAGCCCCUUGGGAAUGUACUGACGCUCAUGUGCGAAAGCGUGGGGAGCAAACAGG